Molecule: transfer RNA, 84 nt
Filed under: Deltaproteobacteria bacterium
Lineage: Bacteria; Pseudomonadati; Myxococcota; Myxococcia
Description: tRNA-Leu
Rfam family: tRNA
About the family: Transfer RNA (tRNA) molecules are approximately 80 nucleotides in length. Their secondary structure includes four short double-helical elements and three loops (D, anti-codon, and T loops).
Source: RNAcentral
GCCGAAGUGGCGGAAUCGGUAGACGCAGCGGACUUAAAAUCCGCUGGGAGAUUUCCCGUGGGGGUUCGAGUCCCCCCUUCGGCA